CCUACGGGUGGCAGCAGUGGGGAAUAUUGCGCAAUGGGCGAAAGCCUGACGCAGCGACGCCGCGUGAGGGAUGAAGGUCUUCGGAUCGUAAACCUCUGUCAGCAGGGAAGAACGGUCACUGUGCUAAUCAGCAGUGAAUUGACGGUACCGGCAAAGGAAGCACCGGCUAACUCCGAGCCAGCAGCCGCGGUAACACGGAGGGAGCGAGCGUUAAUCGGAAUUACUGGGCGGAAAGCGCUCGUAGGCGGUAUGUCAAGUCAAGGGUGAAAUCCCCGCGCUCAACGUGGGAACUGCCUUUGAAACUGGCAACCUGGAUUGUGUGAGAUGCUAGUGGAAUUCCUGGUGU
This 346-nucleotide ribosomal RNA is filed under the name uncultured bacterium. Its description in RNAcentral is "partial 16S ribosomal RNA". It matches the Rfam family "Bacterial small subunit ribosomal RNA", at positions 338 to 676 of the family's 1533-position model. The record is from RNAcentral.